CGUAGGUGGCAAGGCGUUAUCCGGAAUUACUGGGCGUAAAGCGCACGCAGGCGGCUGCGUAAGUCUGACGUGAAAUCUCUCGGCUUAACCGGGAGCGGUCGUUGGAAACUAUGCGGCUUGAGGCGAUGAGAGGGUGUGGAAUUCCCGGUGUAGUGGUGGAAUGCGUAGAUAUCGGGAGGAACAUCAGUGGCGAAAGCGGCACCCUGGCAUUAGCCUGACGCUCAGGUGCGAAAGCGUGGGAGCGAACGGGAUUAGACUACCCGGUAGUCCACGCCGUAAACGAUGAACACUAGGUGUGGGUGGUCUCAAAAUCAUCUGUGCCGAAGUAAACGCGAUAAGUGUUCCGCCUGGGGAGUACGGCCGCAAGGCUA
Molecule: ribosomal RNA, 371 nt
Filed under: uncultured organism
Description: bacterial SSU rRNA
Rfam family: Bacterial small subunit ribosomal RNA
Source: RNAcentral